GAGGGUAUAGCUCUCUGGUAGAGCACAUGCUUAGCAUGCACGAGGUCUUGGGUUCAAUUCCCCAGUACCUCCA
This 73-nucleotide transfer RNA is filed under the name Camelus bactrianus (Bactrian camel). It matches the Rfam family "tRNA". Rfam says of the family: Transfer RNA (tRNA) molecules are approximately 80 nucleotides in length. Their secondary structure includes four short double-helical elements and three loops (D, anti-codon, and T loops). Further hydrogen bonds mediate the characteristic L-shaped molecular structure. tRNAs have two regions of fundamental functional importance: the anti-codon, which is responsible for specific mRNA codon recognition, and the 3' end, to which the tRNAs corresponding amino acid is attached (by aminoacyl-tRNA synthetases). tRNAs cope with the degeneracy of the genetic code in two manners: having more than one tRNA (with a specific anti-codon) for a particular amino acid; and 'wobble' base-pairing, i.e. permitting non-standard base-pairing at the 3rd anti-codon position. Lineage: Eukaryota; Metazoa; Chordata; Mammalia; Artiodactyla; Camelidae. The record is from Rfam by way of RNAcentral. RNAcentral also lists the same sequence under 2 other names.